RNAcentral lists this long non-coding RNA (1684 nucleotides) under Anas zonorhyncha (Eastern spot-billed duck). Its description in RNAcentral is "lncRNA (ENSAZOG00000006320.1)". The record is from RNAcentral. Lineage: Eukaryota; Metazoa; Chordata; Aves; Anseriformes; Anatidae.
UGCAGAUUUAACUGCUUGCGUUAAUGAGGCCACCUGCAAGAGGAGAAACAGAGGGGGAGCUACAUGAGUCAGAGGGAGGCCUCAGAAGCUGGAAGCCCCGGCCAGGUGCCCGAACCUGAAAGUUUUGGGGUUGGGGUUUUCCCCCUCAGUCUCUGCAGAGUCCAGCCUGGACUGGAGGUUAAUUCCUGGCUCAGUCCCUCUACUCUGCUGUAACACUCUUCUUUAGUGAAAUUACACCAGUAGUGAGAAAAAGUUCUGCCAAUAUUUUAACUCAAAUCAUUUCUUGCCACCUCUAUAACCCUUGAUGAUUGCAUUGGGAUCUAUUCAGAAUAACCGUAAUUUAGUAAAUGCUAUGUUUGCCAUUCCUAAGUGUAGCAUUAUACAAACUUAGAUUAGAUAAUUCCCUGCCCAGUUAUGGGUGCCAACAGGCUGGUCAGAAAUUUUCAGAGGUGUUUUUUUUUUUUUUUUUCUUUUCUUUGUUUCUUUUUCACAUGCUGUAACUAAACUUGGCCAUUUUAACUGUAUAAGUAACAAACUGGUUGCUACUUUCAGGACAAAUUUGGUAAAUUCUUAGUUAUUACAUUAGUCUGAGAGAUCUUCUACUGCUGGCCUUUGGGAAAAGCAGACCUGGCAAUGGUGUGAAGCAGAGACCCCGAUAAGACCCUCAGCAAAAGUGCUCCUGAAAAAUAACUUCCAAAGAGAUUUCACAUGGGAGAUGCCACCAGGAGGUGGCUGAGGGGUGUUGCAGAGGUCAGCCUUAGAACUGAGGCUUGUUCCUUUCCUGAGCUCUCUUCUGAAAGAGACACAGCAGGAGUGGGGAAGGUGAGCCUCAGCAGCUUUAAAUGAGCUCUGUGGCACACCUGUGAGACUUCACCUUCAGCAGGUCCCAGCACAGGUGCUGCAAGAGGCGGUGUCCCAGCAUCACCAAGAGGGAAUGGAGGAGCUGUGGAUGUUUUUGUCCUCAACACAUGGGAUUGCCCUGGUACUUUCCUCCUUUGAUAAAAGCAGAGCCAACCCAGGGUGGUUUGCACACCCACCCAGCUGGGGACGGGAGACAUAGCAGCUCAGCCAAGCCCAACAGACUGAUAGCAGCAUGGAGGGAAAACUGCAUUUCUGAAAGUUGCUGCACCGAUCGUGGCAGUAGGAGAAGGGGAUGCUGGAGUGAAGCUAGCCAGGCUUUGUGUCACUGCUAUUAGUCAGGGUGUCUAAGUAGAGACAAGCUUCUGCAGGAAAUCUAUUUUAAAGACAAUGCUUUGAAUGGAGUCACAAGAAAAAAAGAAAAGUUGAAAAGUAAGAUUGCAGAGAGCUCAUCCUCUGCUGCGACAUCCUGCUGUCCUGAUAAAUGGAGCUCAAAGUGACCAUUUUGUUCAUUUUCCCUCUGCUAUUGCUCAUGUAAACAAACCUCUUAUAUGAACUCUGAACAUGCUCACAUGAAAAUAUGCAGAAAAGGUGAUUUUGCAUGGUGGGGGAACUGGAUAAAAUAAAGGAAGACAGGGAAGUAUUUGUAAGAUGUUCCCAUGUGGCUUCUUCCAUGCCACAACCCAGGGAGAAGAGGUGCAGGGGUGGCACCAUGCCACCAGCUGUCUCCUUGGCAGGUCCUGCAUGCUGCAUGUAGGCAAAGCAAUGCAUGUACAAAAAAAUGUACAUACACAAAAGAUGUGUGACGCCUCAAAAUCCAUGGCCU